GGUAAAGACAAGCUGGCAUCUUAUGGGCAAGUGGCCAAACUAAUCAAAAAAAGGUUUUUGGUGCCGCAUCCUCCUUGCAGAUUUGUUCCAUCCAGUGUCAGGCAGCAACCAGUAGCUACUCACCAAAAAAUCAGAGGUUGCCAGGGUUUCAACAACUGGUCUCUAGGCCUGUGUGACUGAGGCCUUAGUUUUGAGUGUUUGCUUAUAUGUACAAAUAAGCGCAUAAAGUAUGUUUAAUGCUGAUGGAGAGUUUGCUUUGUAGGUAUUAACAUUUUCCCCUGAUUGCAGUACAAAUUUCAAAGUGAUAAUUUCAGUCAGAAGAAACAAUUCUGUGAAUUAUAUCAUUUAUAAAUGAAUAGUAGUCAAUAUAUAUGUUAGUAGCUGAUGCAACAACACAGUAAUAGCUAAAAAGAAAGGCUGGAGAAGAUGAACUGCCUCAUGUUCAGUGUUUUGUUGUAUCAGUGGUUCUAGGUUAGUGCUGGAAAAAAUAAAAAAAAAAGGGUGAAAGACGAUUGAAAGACAACAAGCAAGGCUGUGACGCAGCAAAGAAGAAAAGAAUGUUUCAAUGUACAACCGUAGGAGUAAUGAAAGAAAAGUCAAAGUCAAAGAAAAUUGUUAAAGCUAAAGACAGGUAUAUAUGAUAAUGAAGAAAAAAGUGGAACAAAGCAAAUAUUAAGAAGGGUUUAAAAGAGAAGUUUGAAUGGCAGCAGAGAAAAAUAAUCUACAGAGGAUGAGGAGAAAUAGAGAGAGAGUGCAGGAACCAGCCAAUUGAGUUUUAUGUUGUCUGGCUGUGUGUCUGGUCCAUUUGUGGUUCUGUUCAGCAUUCCUCAACAGACCACUACAGGCCACAUAAAGCACAGAGGCACCAAGUCACACGAGAAAGAGCAGGUGUGUGUGUGUCUUUUUUUUCAACAGUGCACCCACGUCUGCAUUAUCCCACUGCUCUCCUCGGCUGGGUUCACUUGGGCAGUCAUUGUUCUCCACCCAUCCGUCUCAGUUCUACAGCAGAUGUGGGCCACAUCUCAUUCAGAAGGUGGUCACCACACAAGACUGAGGAAACCCAAAAGGGAAACUUCCUUGUAGGAAAGCUCGCUGUCAGGAAAUACAGGAUAACAACCGUCCAUAGUGCUGCUACAGCAGCACGUCUGCAAGCAUGCAUGGCUGCAUCACAG
Molecule: long non-coding RNA, 1172 nt
Organism: Astatotilapia calliptera (eastern happy)
Lineage: Eukaryota; Metazoa; Chordata; Actinopteri; Cichliformes; Cichlidae
Source: Ensembl